RNAcentral lists this ribosomal RNA (996 nucleotides) under uncultured bacterium. RNAcentral describes it as "bacterial SSU rRNA". It matches the Rfam family "Bacterial small subunit ribosomal RNA", at positions 42 to 1032 of the family's 1533-position model. The record is from RNAcentral.
UCAGGCCUAACACAUGCAAGUCGAGGGGUAUUGUUCAUUUAUGAAUAAGAGACCGGCGUACGGGUGCGUAACGCGUAUGGAAUCUACCUUUUACAGGGGUAUAGCCCGGAGAAAUCCGGAUUAAUCCCCCAUGGUAUUUAUAGGGGGCAUCCUUUAUAGAUUAAAGCUUUAUAGUGGUAAGAGAUGAUCAUGCGUCUUAUUAGCUAGUUGGCAUGGUAAUGGCAUACCAAGGCAACGAUAAGUAGGGGUCCUGAGAGGGAGCUCCCCCACACUGGUACUGAGACACGGACCAGACUCCUACGGGAGGCAGCAGUGAGGAAUAUUGGACAAUGGGCGAGAGCCUGAUCCAGCCAUGCCGCGUGCAGGAUGACGGCCUUAUGGGUUGUAAACUGCUUUUCUGGAGGAAGAAUAAUAUCGAUUUUUCGAUAGAUGACGGUACUUCAGGAAUAAGCAUCGGCUAACUCCGUGCCAGCAGCCGCGGUAAUAUGGAGGAUGCAAGCGUUAUCCGGAAUUAUUGGGUUUAAAGGGUCCGCAGGCGGGAUGUUAAGUCAGUGGUGAAAUGCUCCGGCUCAACCGGCAGAUUUGCCAUUGAUACUGAUAUUCUUGAAUGAUUAAGAAGUAAUUAGAAUGUGUAGUGUAGCGGUGAAAUGCAUAGAUAUUACACAGAAUACCGAUUGCGAAGGCAGGUUACUAUUAAUUCAUUGACGCUGAUGGACGAAAGCGUGGGGAGCGAACAGGAUUAGAUACCCUGGUAGUCCACGCCGUAAACGAUGGAUACUAGCUGUAUAUUAUUCGGUUAGGAUAAUAUGUGGCCAAGCGAAAGUGAUAAGUAUCCCACCUGGGGAGUACGUUCGCAAGAAUGAAACUCAAAGGAAUUGACGGGGGCCCGCACAAGCGGUGGAGCAUGUGGUUUAAUUCGAUGAUACGCGAGGAACCUUACCAAGGCUUAAAUGCAAUACGUAUAUAGUGGAAACACUUUAGUCUUUUGGACGCAUU